Long non-coding RNA from Carassius carassius (crucian carp), 383 nucleotides. RefSeq lists it as uncharacterized. NCBI's taxonomy places the organism in Eukaryota, Metazoa, Chordata, Actinopteri, Cypriniformes, Cyprinidae. The record is from RefSeq and is a predicted model, not a curated record. The transcript is spliced from 3 exons.
GUGCAAAGAAACAGAUUGUAAGACUGAGGGUCACAUCUGGUCAGAAUAUAAAUGAUCCUGCAGUGAUGACUGUUAUCUUACAGAAGAUAAAACAGAAGCUGAAGGAAUGGGGUAUAGAAAAGGAAACAAAAGUGACAUGGAGAGUUCAGCCAAAUGGAUAUGCGUUUUCACAAGUUACACAUUUUUAAGUUUCUACGGCAGCAGUGGUGGUCCUGGUUCACUUUCACUCCAGCUGUGUGCUCAGAAGUGUCAACCCUGUGGCAGGAUGGUUGAUAUAUUGUAAACUCUGUCAAAAACCUUAAAACAAUUAAAUUCAGUUUUUAUUUUAAUGAUUUAAUUUAAGGUUUAUUUUAGCACAGAUAUGAUUUUAGUUUGUAGGGGAU